This 389-nucleotide long non-coding RNA is filed under the name Gossypium raimondii (Peruvian cotton). RNAcentral describes it as "long non-coding RNA (GRAI_LNC008807)". The record is from RNAcentral. Lineage: Eukaryota; Viridiplantae; Streptophyta; Magnoliopsida; Malvales; Malvaceae.
CAGGCAGCAGUGACUGGGGGAUGCAGUGUGUUAUGGGAGGUUGUUCAAAACUGAGGAAACUUGAGAUACGAGACUGCCCGUUCGGAAAUGCUGCACUGCUGUCAGGUUUGGAGAAGUACGAAUCUAUGAGGUCACUUUGGAUGUCGGCCUGCAAUGUGACAAUGAAUGGUUGUAGGCUAUUGGCAAGGGAGAUGCCUAGGUUGAACGUUGAGGUAAUGAAGGAGGAUGGAAGUGAUGAUAGUCAAGCUGAUAAAGUCUAUGUUUACCGUUCGAUUGCUGGCCCACGGAGGGAUGCCCCACCAUCUGUUCUUACCCUCUGAAAUGCUUGGUAAUCUCUCUCUCUAUCUCUCACUCAAACACACACAUGCUGGCAUGCCCUCACAGGGUCC